This 75-nucleotide transfer RNA is filed under the name Candidatus Onthocola stercoravium. RNAcentral describes it as "tRNA-Cys". It matches the Rfam family "tRNA". Rfam says of the family: Transfer RNA (tRNA) molecules are approximately 80 nucleotides in length. Their secondary structure includes four short double-helical elements and three loops (D, anti-codon, and T loops). Further hydrogen bonds mediate the characteristic L-shaped molecular structure. tRNAs have two regions of fundamental functional importance: the anti-codon, which is responsible for specific mRNA codon recognition, and the 3' end, to which the tRNAs corresponding amino acid is attached (by aminoacyl-tRNA synthetases). tRNAs cope with the degeneracy of the genetic code in two manners: having more than one tRNA (with a specific anti-codon) for a particular amino acid; and 'wobble' base-pairing, i.e. permitting non-standard base-pairing at the 3rd anti-codon position. The record is from RNAcentral. Lineage: Bacteria; Bacillati; Bacillota; Bacilli.
GGAACCGUAGCCAAGUGGCUAAGGCGUAGGUCUGCAACACCUUGAUCGCCGGUUCAAAUCCGGCCGGUUCCUCCA